GGAGCUUUAGCUCAGUGGUCAGAGCAGUCGGCUCAUAACCGAUCGGUCCCGGGUUCGAGUCCCUGAGCCUCCA
RNAcentral lists this transfer RNA (73 nucleotides) under Clostridia bacterium. RNAcentral describes it as "tRNA-Ile". It matches the Rfam family "tRNA". From Rfam's summary of the family: Transfer RNA (tRNA) molecules are approximately 80 nucleotides in length. Their secondary structure includes four short double-helical elements and three loops (D, anti-codon, and T loops). The record is from RNAcentral. Lineage: Bacteria; Bacillati; Bacillota; Clostridia.